GUUUUUCUUCUGAUUAUUUUUUUUUUUUCUUCUGCGUCUAAGAUGCUUUUUUGUUUUACAACAUAUCGAUUGGAUGUUUGGCCAAUGGUGUUGUUCAGUAAUGGAGGUUUCAAAACUCACCCUGUGUGACCGAACACUUAUUCUUAUAGGAGUUAUCUCCCCGCGUCCCCUUUUUCUUGUUAUCGCUAUAUCUCAAAAACCGUAUAAGAUUUUUACAAAAUGUUUUCACCAAAUUGUUUGUCUACUCUUAAAAAUGAUUUGUUUUACUUCGACUGGGGUGAUCAGAAGACAUCUCAUGGGAGUUAUUUCCCUUUGAAAAUUUAAAAUAAACGAUAUGUUGGGUUAAUUCAUACAGUAUAAGUUGUAGAGGCCUCCAGUCUUUUGAUAUGAAGUGCUUGGUCCAUAUAACGGAAAUUGAGGUCAAGGUCAAAGGUCAAGGUCAUGUUAUAAAUUUUGAAUUUUGCUUGUUAUCGUUAUUCAAAAGAAACUGUAACAGUUGAUGAUAUGAUAUGUUUGCAAAAUCACUGUUUACAAUAAGGCGCAUUUUCAACUUAUUCAGUCGAAGUGUUUUGGUUAACCCUUAUAGGAGUUUUCUCCCCUUAUGUAUUUGAAAUCGUUAUUUCUCCACAA
Molecule: long non-coding RNA, 630 nt
Filed under: Mytilus galloprovincialis (Mediterranean mussel)
Lineage: Eukaryota; Metazoa; Mollusca; Bivalvia; Mytilida; Mytilidae
Source: RNAcentral